AGUAAUGCGUGACCAACCUGCCCCAUGCUCCAGAAUAGCUCUUGGAAACGGGUGGUAAUGCUGGAUGCUCCAACUUGACGCAUGUCUUGUUGGGAAAGUGUUUAGUGGCAUGGGAUGGGGGUCGCGUCCUAUCAGCUUGUAGGCGGGGUAAUGGCCCACCUAGGCUUCGACGGGUAGACGGCCUGAGAGGGCGGACGGCCACAUUGGGACUGAGAUACGGCCCAGACUCCUACGGGAGGCAGCAGAU
Molecule: ribosomal RNA, 247 nt
Filed under: uncultured Gardnerella sp.
Lineage: Bacteria; Bacillati; Actinomycetota; Actinomycetes; Bifidobacteriales; Bifidobacteriaceae
Description: partial 16S ribosomal RNA
Rfam family: Bacterial small subunit ribosomal RNA
Source: RNAcentral